RNAcentral lists this unclassified non-coding RNA (216 nucleotides) under fungal sp. RNAcentral's name for it is "partial internal transcribed spacer region". The stretch from base 1 to 46 matches the Rfam family "Eukaryotic small subunit ribosomal RNA", at positions 1786 to 1831 of the family's 1831-position model. The record is from RNAcentral. Lineage: Eukaryota; Fungi.
AAGUCGUAACAAGGUUUCCGUAGGUGAACCUGCGGAAGGAUCAUUACAUUUUCGAGGUGCUAACCGCACAUCGAUUCUACCCUUGUCUUUUGCGCACUCAUGUUUCCUCGGCGGGCUUGCCCGUCGAUUGGACAAAUUUAAAACCUUUUUAAUUUUCAAUCAGCGUCUGAAUAAACUAAAUAAUUACAACUUUCAACAACGGAUCUCUUGGUUCUG